RNAcentral lists this ribosomal RNA (250 nucleotides) under uncultured bacterium. RNAcentral's name for it is "partial 16S ribosomal RNA". It matches the Rfam family "Bacterial small subunit ribosomal RNA", at positions 524 to 773 of the family's 1533-position model. The record is from RNAcentral.
UACGGAGGGUGCAAGCGUUAAUCGGAAUUACUGGGCGUAAAGCGCGCGUAGGCGGUUUAUUAAGUCAGAUGUGAAAGCCCCGGGCUUAACCUGGGAAUUGCAUUUGAGACUGGUAGGCUAGAGUGUGGUAGAGGUGAGUGGAAUUUCAGGUGUAGCGGUGAAAUGCGUAGAGAUCUGAAGGAACAUCAGUGGCGAAGGCGACUCACUGGGCCAUUACUGACGCUGAGGUGCGAAAGCGUGGGUAGCAAAC